Molecule: long non-coding RNA, 2261 nt
Organism: Anopheles stephensi (Asian malaria mosquito)
Lineage: Eukaryota; Metazoa; Arthropoda; Insecta; Diptera; Culicidae
Exons: 3
Source: RefSeq, a predicted model, not a curated record
AUAUAGGCUCCAUCCUUCGAUGUUAUACUCCACACACAGACACACACACACACACACUCACAAUGAAGAAGUAUCCCAAGAGAGAAGUUGAGAUAUCCACCACCGCAAACAGCCGCAAAAUGGCGAACGGAUGAGUUUGAGAGAAUAGGUGCGUGUGCUUUGCGUGUUGCUGUAUUCUGUUACUCUAGGUUUGCUCGACAUCAGUCAACCAGCUGUUAAUACAGGUGUCAACCCAACCCGGUGUGUGUGCGUGUGUUAGAUGGAUAUCCGUUUCAAGCGAAACUUCUACUUCCACCAUUGCUACCUAAGUCUACUUUAUCAGAUGGCAAACGUAGCAUUAUCGCUCACAGUGCCUACACGCUCGUGAAUCUCAAAGUGGCCUAAACCAGUGAAAGAUGAUCAGCAUACGAUCAGAUUACCGAUUCUUAAAUGACGGAAGCCGUGUUUAUACUCGGUCGUAACCGUUGGAGCCUCUGAAGACUGAGCGCGAGUGUUAUAUUAAUUUCGUACUUCCGCUAGAGAAGUGUCAGCCGUCUCGUGUCUCCGCAAUUUCCGGUGGCAAAUCAUACAAAAAAAUCGUCUACAGAAAAAGGAAAUAAUUGAAAAUAGCGAACUUUAGCCCUGCUUCAGCGUUAUCGCAGGUUCAACACCGAGUAGUAAAAACUACUCAACGAUUGAAACAACCCAGCAGGUGUAAGUCAACCUUCUUGAGCACUAAAGCACAGAUAUGUUUGACUAUCUACAGCUUCAAGAGAUAGAUUGCAACAGUAACCGUAGAGCUAUUGUGAAGGGCGAUCUGCUGGUAGUGGCGAAAGCUGCGCCGGUCUUCGCAUGGCAGGACCAGGGUUCAAAUCUUAUUUGUGCCUUCAAGACUAUCCAACUGCAAGGUACCAAGAAAGCCAUUAGAUAAUUAGAUAACAAGCCUAGCAUGUUGAGCCAAGAAGAAGAUUUUAAAAUCAUGUCUCCGUCAUUACUGUUAUAAAUUCAUUGUAGCUCCUGUAAAGAUAAAGAUAUCCAGACGGUUGAUGGACCACAGAUGCUAGAGACUAUCUAUGAGGAAGGUAAUAUAAGAAGGUCCUAUCAUCCACUAUCAACCAUGAAUAUCUCAUCAUUUUAGAUUGAUUCCAUCAGCAGCUGGUUUCAUUCAUUUCAUCAGCAGGUCUUGAAGAUCUUAGAAAGUCUUGGUCGUCUGUAAACAUUAAAAGUGUCCAUAACCUUCACCGAGCCUCCAUUACGCUAGCUCGCCCAUUAGCAACCAUGUUGCAGCAAUAAAAUUAUCAAUUUAAGGUGAGUUUAAAGCUAUAUAAUCCAACACACACACUCUCCAUGUUGGUCUCUGUUGCACACUUGCUCACGUUGCACGUGCAGCUCAAACGGACCGGGCGCAACACCAAACUUCCAAACGUCACAGCAUCUUCGAAAACGGUUUGCGUGAAUGACCCAAUAACGAUUAUCUCGAAUUCGGUAGCUGCACCAUAUAACCGGCUAAUGCAAAUGUAUCCCACAAAAUUAGCAUUCCAAUAAAUUCGAAGCGCACCAUAAAUCUGUAUCGUAAACAAGGUGAGAUCGGCUAAAUCGUAUCUAAAGCCGUAGACGCCGCACACGCCGCAGCGUAAUGUGAUCCUUUUGCUCCGGGUGUGUGUGUUUGUGUGUCUGUGUGUCCAGGCGCGCGAAAAGCAAAUCAUCAGCACACACAUGCAUACAGUAAUAAACUAAACGCCGUUCAUACGCAUACGCGAGUUGAAAUGAGCAGUUAAUUAAAGUUUUAAUUGAUACUUUGCAUAUUUUUACGAGCUGCUAAUAAGGAAAGUGCAUAAUCCUCGGCACAUCUCGGCAUAUGUUCCUGGUCCCCGUGCGGUUCCACCACGACCGACCGCACGCCGCCUCCCUUCUACCAAUAUUUACGGCCCCUUUGCGGAGCAGAUUUCGCUGGUAUAGUCUGUCGAAACCGUGGUGCAAUAAAACUCCCCGUCGUCGCAUGGGCAAUAAAAAGAAAAGAGAGGAAAGAAACAACCCACCUUCGUCACCCUUGUCCCGCAAAAGCUCGGGAGAAUACGGUGCGCGCGCGCGCGCCCCUCACCAACAUUCCCCGUACACACGCAUUAGGGGUGUUGAGUGCAUUUUAUUACAUUUGCAUCCAUCAGCGCGGCAUCGCACCGGCAUCGCGAAUGGAGUGGAAUACAAUAAAACGAGAGGUGGUGGGGGCUUUGGUGGCGUGUUACACUCUCUUUGGGACGGGUUGAAAUAAAACAAAAAAAAAA